RNAcentral lists this long non-coding RNA (311 nucleotides) under Elaeis guineensis (African oil palm). RNAcentral's name for it is "long non-coding RNA (EGUI_LNC050356)". The record is from RNAcentral. Lineage: Eukaryota; Viridiplantae; Streptophyta; Magnoliopsida; Arecales; Arecaceae.
CUAGAGAUAAGAGAUGUGUAAAUUAGUGAAAAAAUUCUAGAAAAAAUCUAAGAAAAAUGCAAGGAGAAAUUGAGUGGCAAAAGUUGUAAGAAUGGUGGUGAGAGAUUUAGCAAGUGUUGCUAGUGUGCCCUAGGAUUUGAUUUUUUCAUAUGUUGGAGCCAAAAAUCAAAUCUUAAGUUGUAAGAUAUCUGAAGAGUAUCUUCUUGGCAUGAUUCUGGUGGCAGGUUCGGAGAUGACUGGGCUUUGGUGUGAUCGUUCCUUGAGUUUGAAGUUGGUAGUGUUCUUGAGAAGAAAAGGCUGCGGCAAUGCAC